This is a long non-coding RNA of Papaver somniferum (opium poppy), 689 nucleotides long. RefSeq lists it as uncharacterized. Lineage: Eukaryota; Viridiplantae; Streptophyta; Magnoliopsida; Ranunculales; Papaveraceae. The record is from RefSeq and is a predicted model, not a curated record. The transcript has 3 exons.
UCAAAUAGGCCAAAUAGUCCUUAUUUCCUUUUUAUUUCGUGCCCAUUUUUUCGUUAUUUUAAAAUAAAUCAGUGGUAAAAACAUAAACUUGUUUUCUCUCUUAUUAUCUCUUUUCUCGAACCGAUCGAACAUAGAAAAUCCUUUCUUCCUAGUUUUCUCCUUCAACCAUUUCUCCUCUACAUAGAAAUUGAACUCGAUCAAUCUCACGUUCAUCUUUCAGGGUAUCAUUUAAAACCUUUUACUCGGUUGGUUCAAGGGAGCGCUAAACCAAUAAAGAAUAGUGAAGGGUAGAGAAGAAGAUUGGUUAGCAUCUGAAGAAGAUCCAUCAAGAGCCGCUGAAGCUGCCCACAAAAGGCAAGAGGAUUUUGAGAAGUCAGCUGCAGGAAGAGCUGCUAAAGCGCAAAUGACAGCAAUGGCAAAGCAAUCUGCUACACCUAAAACUGGUGAACCGGUUCUCAAGGUUACGUGAAGAACAUGGAAUUAUGCCGAGAUUCAUCCUCGAUUUUGAAAAGAAUAGAACUAUUGUUUCUUGAGACUACAAAUGGCUUUGUGCCUAGCAGGAUGCUUUUGUUUGUUCAUUUUUCCCUAGUUAGGUUGGCGGUACCAUUGGGUACAUAUUUAGAUAGGGUGUCUCUUAUUUGCUGUGUUGUUGCAAGAUUUUUUUGCUUUUUUGGGAAGCAUUUUUUGUA